Molecule: ribosomal RNA, 459 nt
Filed under: Ototyphlonemertes chernyshevi
Lineage: Eukaryota; Metazoa; Nemertea; Enopla; Monostilifera; Ototyphlonemertidae
Description: partial large subunit ribosomal RNA
Rfam family: Bacterial large subunit ribosomal RNA
Source: RNAcentral
UGCCUUUUGGUAUUUAUUAAAAGGUUGUUUCUGCUCGGUGUUUUUUAACAGCCGCGGUAAUUUGACCGUGCAAAGGUAGCAUAAUCAUUUGCCUUGUAAUUGAGGGCUAGUAUGAACGAAUUAACAAAGGCCUUGCUUUAUUGAGGGGAGUUGUUGAAAUUUCUUUCUUAGUGAAGAAGCUAAGAUAAAGAAAGGGGACAAGAAGACCCUUUCGAGCUUUACUAAAAGUUGGUUUUUUUAGUCAGUUUUAGUUUGGUUGGGGCGACCAAGGAAUAGGAUCUUCCUUUUUUAAUUUUGAUCCACAGUUUGUGAUUAAAAGAACAAGUUACCGGAGGGAUAACAGCGUAAUCCUCUUUGAGAGCUCUUAUUAAAAAGAGGGAUUGCGACCUCGAUGUUGACUUAUGGUUACCUUUCGGUGUAGCCGCUGUUAGGGUAGGUCUGUUCGACCUUUAAAAUCUU